CAGUAGCCGCGGUAAAACGGAGGGUGCAAGCGUUAAUCGGAAUUACUGGGCGUAAAGCGCACGCAGGCGGUCUGACAAGUCAGAUGUGAAAUCCCCGGGCUUAACCUGGGAACUGCAUUUGAAACUGUCAGGCUGGAGUCUUGUAGAGGGGGGUGGAAUUCCAGGUGUAGCGGUGAAAUGCGUAGAGAUCUGGAGGAAUACCGGUGGCGAAGGCGGCCCCCUGGACAAAGACUGACGCUCAGGUGCGAAAGCGUGGGGAGCAAACAGGAUUAGAUACCUUAGUAGUCCCUGUCUCUUAUAA
RNAcentral lists this ribosomal RNA (301 nucleotides) under uncultured bacterium. RNAcentral describes it as "partial 16S ribosomal RNA". It matches the Rfam family "Bacterial small subunit ribosomal RNA", at positions 509 to 809 of the family's 1533-position model. The record is from RNAcentral.